UACGUAGGGUGCGAGCGUUGCCCGGAUUUAUUGGGCGUAAAGGGCGCGUAGGCGGCCACGCACGUCCGUUGUGAAAUCGCCCGGCUCAACUGGGCGGGGUCAGCGGAUACGGUGUGGCUCGAGCAAGCUAGGGGGCAAUGGAAUUCCCGGUGUAGUGGUGGAAUGCGUAGAUAUCGGGAGGAACACCAGUGGCGAAGGCGGUUGCCUGGAGCUUUGCUGACGCUGAGGCGCGAAAGCGUGGGGAGCGAUCCGG
Molecule: ribosomal RNA, 253 nt
Filed under: uncultured bacterium
Lineage: Bacteria
Description: partial 16S ribosomal RNA
Rfam family: Bacterial small subunit ribosomal RNA
Source: RNAcentral